This 386-nucleotide ribosomal RNA is filed under the name uncultured Leptospirillum sp. RNAcentral describes it as "bacterial SSU rRNA". It matches the Rfam family "Archaeal small subunit ribosomal RNA", at positions 339 to 727 of the family's 1478-position model. The record is from RNAcentral. Lineage: Bacteria; Pseudomonadati; Nitrospirota; Nitrospiria; Nitrospirales; Nitrospiraceae.
GCGCGAAAACUGUGCAAUGCGCGAAAGCGCGACACGGGAAACCUGAGUGCCUUGACAAUGUCAAGGCUUUUCUUAAGCCUAAAAAGCUUAAGGAAUAAGAGCUGGGCAAGACGGGUGCCAGCCGCCGCGGUAACACCCGCAGCUCGAGUGGUGGUCACUUUUAUUGAGCCUAAAGCGUUUGUAGCCGGUUUUGCAAAUCUUCAGAUAAAUUCCUCUGCUUAACAGAUGAUCUUCUGAAGAGACUGCGAGACUUGGGACCGGGUGAGGUUGAAGGUACUUCCGGGGUAGGGGUAAAAUCCUGUAAUCCUGGAAGGACGACCGGUGGCGAAGGCGUUCAACUAGAACGGAUCCGACGGUGAGGAACGAGGGCUAGGGGAGCAAACCGG